This 773-nucleotide ribosomal RNA is filed under the name uncultured bacterium. RNAcentral's name for it is "bacterial SSU rRNA". It matches the Rfam family "Bacterial small subunit ribosomal RNA", at positions 8 to 798 of the family's 1533-position model. The record is from RNAcentral.
AGAGUUUGAUCAUGGCUCAGGACGAACGCUGGCGACGUGCUUAACACAUGCAAGUCGAACGGAAAGGCCCUUCGGGGUACUCGAGUGGCGAACGGGUGAGUAACACGUGGGUGAUCUGCCCUGCACUUUGGGAUAAGCCUGGGAAACUGGGUCUAAUACCGAAUAGGACCACGCGCUUCAUGGUGUGUGGUGGAAAGCUUUUGCGGUGUGGGAUGGGCCCGCGGCCUAUCAGCUUGUUGAUGGGGUAAUGGCCUACCAAGGCGACGACGGGUAGCCGGCCUGAGAGGGUGACCGGCCACACUGGGACUGAGAUACGGCCCAGACUCCUACGGGAGGCAGCAGUGGGGAAUAUUGCACAAUGGGCGCAAGCCUGAUGCAGCGACGCCGCGUGAGGGAUGACGGCCUUCGGGUUGUAAACCUCUUUCAAUAGGGACGAAGCGCAAGUGACGGUACCUGGAGAAGAAGCACCGGCCAACUGCGUGCCAGCAGCCGCGGUAAUACGUAGGGUGCGAGCGUUGUCCGGAAUUACUGGGCGUAAAGAGCUCGUAGGUGGUUUGUCGCGUUGUUCGUGAAAACUCACAGCUUAACUGUGGGCGUGCGGGCGAUACGGGCAGACUAGAGUACUGCAGGGGAGACUGGAAUUCCUGGUGUAGCGGUGGAAUGCGCAGAUAUCAGGAGGAACACCGGUGGCGAAGGCGGGUCUCUGGGCAGUAACUGACGCUGAGGAGCGAAAGCGUGGGGAGCGAACAGGAUUAGAUACCCCGGUAGUCCAA